Molecule: ribosomal RNA, 492 nt
Filed under: uncultured bacterium
Lineage: Bacteria
Description: partial 16S ribosomal RNA
Rfam family: Bacterial small subunit ribosomal RNA
Source: RNAcentral
AGUGAACGCUGGCGGUAGGCCUAACACAUGCAAGUCGAACGGCAGCACAGUAAGAGCUUGCUCUUACGGGUGGCGAGUGGCGGACGGGUGAGGAAUACAUCGGAAUCUACUUUUUCGUGGGGGAUAACGUAGGGAAACUUACGCUAAUACCGCAUACGACCUACGGGUGAAAGCAGGGGAUCUUCGGACCUUGCGCGAUUGAAUGAGCCGAUGUCGGAUUAGCUAGUUGGCGGGGUAAAGGCCCACCAAGGCGACGAUCCGUAGCUGGUCUGAGAGGAUGAUCAGCCACACUGGAACUGAGACACGGUCCAGACUCCUACAGGAGGCAGCAGUGCGGAAUAUUGGACAAUGGGCGCAAGCCUGAUCCAGCCAUACCGCGUGGGUGAAGAAGGCCUUCGGGUUGUAAAGCCCUUUUGUUGGGAAAGAAAAGCAGCAGGUUAAUACCCCGCUGUUCUGACGGUACCCAAAGAAUAAGCACCGGCUAACUUCGUG